RNAcentral lists this long non-coding RNA (569 nucleotides) under Hordeum vulgare. Its description in RNAcentral is "long non-coding RNA (HVUL_LNC020717)". Lineage: Eukaryota; Viridiplantae; Streptophyta; Magnoliopsida; Poales; Poaceae. The record is from RNAcentral.
CUUUCUGAAUCUUAUCCUCUGCCUCUCUUCCUUCGUCCUCCUUCUCUCAUUCUUUUUCUCCUUCCUUUCCUAAUUGCUUCCUUCCUCCAUGAUUCAUCCCCAUUGACCUUCACUUCCUUUGUUAAGGCAUCCAUGGCUGCCCGCAUACUUCUCUCCCGUAGUGUCGUCCGGGGUGCCUGAGCUCUUGCAUGUUGUAGUUUUUUUUCGCGAGACCAAGCUAAAGCUGCAACCAACAUCGUGCCCUGUUACAACGGGCGUCAUGUUUUUCUACAACCAUGGCCUGGGAGCUUGGUGGAGCAGCAACAUCAGUUGUGGUAUAUUGGUUGUAACAAUUUCAAUCACCGGUGGUAGCAAAUAGGUUAUCACGGGUCGCAGCUGAGAUAAGAAGUUUGAAACUUUUAUCAAUGCGGUUAUAACUUUUGUCUAUUCUAUAUUAUUCGCAGUUUUGGUCUAUUCUGACUAGUUUUGUAUGCUAUUACUCACUGAUUUUGGGUCCCGCUGCAAUCCGAACGUUUCGGGAACCCCGGGGUCCUGUUACAUGGAACUCGUGAAAACUCGCAUUUUUGGCA